This 300-nucleotide ribosomal RNA is filed under the name uncultured bacterium. Its description in RNAcentral is "bacterial SSU rRNA". It matches the Rfam family "Bacterial small subunit ribosomal RNA", at positions 1014 to 1314 of the family's 1533-position model. The record is from RNAcentral.
GUCAGUUCGGCUGGAUCGGUGACAGGUGGUGCAUGGCUGUCGUCAGCUCGUGUCGUGAGAUGUUGGGUUAAGUCCCGCAACGAGCGCAACCCUUGUCCUUAGUUGCCACCAUUCAGUUGGGCACUGUAAGGAGACUGCCGGUGUUAAACCGGAGGAAGGUGGGGAUGACGUCAAGUCCUCAUGGCCCUUAUAUCCAGGGCUACACACGUGCUACAAUGGCCGGUACAAAGGGUCGCAAUACCGCGAGGUGGAGCUAAUCCCAAAAAGCCGGUCUCAGUUCGGAUUGGAGUCUGCAACUCC